RNAcentral lists this ribosomal RNA (268 nucleotides) under uncultured bacterium. Its description in RNAcentral is "partial 16S ribosomal RNA". It matches the Rfam family "Bacterial small subunit ribosomal RNA", at positions 355 to 640 of the family's 1533-position model. The record is from RNAcentral.
UAGGGAAUAUUGCAAAUGGGCGAAAGCCUGAUGUAGCAACGCCGCGUGUGCGAUGAAGGUCUUCGGAUUGUAAAGCACUUUUUGGAGGGAUGAGGAAGGACAGUACCUCCAGAAUAAGCCUCGGCUAACUACGUGCCAGCAGCCGCGGUAACACGUAGGAGGCAAGCGUUAUUCGGAUUUACUGGGCGUAAAGCGCGUGCAGGCGGUUUGGAAAGUUGGAUGUGAAAGCUCCUGGCUCAACUGGGAGAGGUCGUUCAAAACUUCCAGA